This 1649-nucleotide long non-coding RNA is filed under the name Citrus x clementina. RNAcentral's name for it is "Citrus clementina (C. clementina) long non-coding RNA (CCLE_LNC005011)". Lineage: Eukaryota; Viridiplantae; Streptophyta; Magnoliopsida; Sapindales; Rutaceae. The record is from RNAcentral.
CCGAAACCGGCCAAACCGGCUAAACCGCCCCGAUCAUGCCCAUUUUUCGGCGUUCAAACCGCCGCACGGCUACCCCCCCAUCCCGAUGCCCCCGGACCCCUGGUCCCGUGGGACCUGACGGAAACGGAAUCGGAUGCUCGGAUCAUGAGAUACGCCCAAAACCGUCUAAACCUACUGAGCGCACCCCGAACAUGCCCAUUUUUCGGCGUUCAAACCGCCGCGCGGCUACCCCCCCAUCCCGAUGCCCCCGGAACCCUGGUCCCGCGGGACCCGACGGAAACGGAAUCGGAGGCCCGGAUCAUGAGUUACGGCCCCUUCUUUGCGGCCCCCGAGGACGUGCGCUAUAGCCCCCCGGGCCACCCCCCAUCCGGCCGCACCCGCCCGAACCCCACCGAACGCGUCCGCCGCCUCCCGAUCCCGCCCCGCGGUCCCCCCCGGGGCAUGAACCAGCCCCCGGCGGGCCGAAACCGGCCAAACCGGCUAAACCGCCCCGAUCAUGCCCAUUUUUCGGCGUUCAAACCGCCGCACGGCUUCCCCCCCAUCCCGAUGCCCCCGGACCCCUGGUCCCGUGGGACCUGGCGGAAACGGAAUCGGAUGCUCGGAUCAUGAGAUACGCCCAAAACCGUCUAAACCUACUGAGCGCACCCCGAACAUGCCCAUUUUUCGGCGUUCAAACCGCCGCGCGGCUACCCCCCCAUCCCGAUGCCCCCGGAACCCUGGUCCCGCGGGACCCGACGGAAACGGAAUCAGAGGCCCGGAUCAUGAGUUACGGCCCCUUCUAUGCGGCCCCCGAGGACGUGCGCUAUAGCCCCCCGGGCCACCCCCCAUCCGGCCGCACCCGCCCGAACCCCACCGAACGCGUCCGCCGCCUCCCGAGCCCGCCCCGCGGUCCCUCCCUGGGCACGAACCGGGCCCCGGCGGGCCGAAACCGGCCAAACCGGCUAAACCGCCCCGAUCAUGCCCAUUUUUCGGCGUUCAAACCGCCGCACGGCUACCCCCCCAUCCCGAUGCCCCCGGACCCCUGGUCCCGUGGGACCUGACGGAAACGGAAUCGGAUGCUCGGAUCAUGAGAUACGCCCAAAACCGUCUAAACCUUCUGAGCGCACCCCGAACAUGCCCAUUUUUCGGCGUUCAAACCGCCGCGCGGCUACCGCCCCAUCCCGAUGCCCCCGGAACCCUGGUCCCGCGGGACCCGACGGAAACGGAAUCGGAGCCCUGGUUCAUGAGUUCCGGCCCAUUCUAUGCGGCCCCCGAUGACGUGCUCUAUCGCCCCCCGGGCCACCCCCCAUCUGGCCGCACCCGCCCGAACCCCACCGAACGCGUCCGCCGCCUCCCGAUCCCGCCCCGCGGUCCCCCCCGGGGCAUGAACCGCCCCCCGGCGGGCCGAAACCGGCCAAACCGGCUAAACCGCCCCGAUCAUGCCCAUUUUUCGGCGUUCAAACCGCCGCACGGCUACCCCCCCAUCCCGAUGCCCCCGGACCCCUGGUCCCGUGGGACCUGACGGAAACGGAAUCGGAUGCUCGGAUCAUGAGAUACGCCCAAAACCGUCUAAACCUACUGAGCGCACCCCGAACAUGCCCAUUUUUCGGCGUUCAAACCGCCGCGCGGCUACCCCCCCAUCCUGAUGCCCCCGGAACCCUGGUCCCGCG